Molecule: ribosomal RNA, 251 nt
Filed under: uncultured bacterium
Lineage: Bacteria
Description: partial small subunit ribosomal RNA
Rfam family: Bacterial small subunit ribosomal RNA
Source: RNAcentral
AGAAUCAACGCUGGCGGCGUGCCUAACACAUGCAAGUCGCACGAGAAAGGGGACUUCGGUCCCUGAGUACAGUGGCGGCACGGGUGAGUAACACGUGAAUCAUCGUACCUUCGAGUGGGGAAUUAACUGAGAGAAAUCUUAGCGUAAUACCGCAUAAUACCUACGGGUCAAAGCAGCAAUGCGCUUGAAGAGGAGUUCGCGGCAGAUUAGUUAGUUGGCGGGGUAAUGGCCCACCAAGACGAUGAUCUGUA